UCGCGGCUUAUCACUGGCAGUCCCCUUAGAGUGCCCAACUAAAUGAUGGCAACUAAGGGCGAGGGUUGCGCUCGUUGCGGGACUUAACCCAACACCUCACGGCACGAGCUGACGACAGCCAUGCAGCAUCUGUGCACGCUCCCUUGCGGGUCCUUCCGCUUUCGCGGUCGUACCACGUGCAUGUCAAGCCCUGGUAAGGUUCUUCGCGUUGCGUCGAAUUAAACCACAUGCUCCACCGCCUGUGCGGGCCCCCGUCAAUUCCUUUGAGUUUCAGCCUUGCGGCCGUACUCCCCAGGCGGGGCACUUAAUGCGUUAGCGACGACACUCAGGGGGUCGCUCCCCCAAGCAUCUAGUGCCCAUCGUUUACGGCGUGGACUAC
Molecule: unclassified non-coding RNA, 379 nt
Filed under: uncultured bacterium
Lineage: Bacteria
Description: contains 16S-23S intergenic spacer region
Source: RNAcentral